RNAcentral lists this ribosomal RNA (799 nucleotides) under Lepraria diffusa. RNAcentral's name for it is "SSU rRNA". It matches the Rfam family "Bacterial small subunit ribosomal RNA", at positions 345 to 1198 of the family's 1533-position model. Lineage: Eukaryota; Fungi; Ascomycota; Lecanoromycetes; Lecanorales; Stereocaulaceae. The record is from RNAcentral.
CCAGCAACUUGGAGGAAUGUAUAGCAAUAGCUGAUUGCACCAACAAAUACUUGAUGCAAUAUUGACUCUGUCAAAUAAAAUUCUAGGUAGAAUUAUGAUAAUGACAUUGUCUGCCUAUAUGUCUUGACCAAAUUACGUGCCAGCAGUCGCGGUAAUACGUAGAAGACUAGUGUUAUUCAUCUUUAAUAGGUUUAAAGGGUACCUAGACGGUAAAUCAAGCCUUCACAGGGACUAAUUUACUAGAGUUACUUACGAGGGGGUAUUAAAGUACUGCAGGUGUAGAGAUGAAAUUCUGUCAUACCUCUUUUCAAAAGAAAAAUUAUGGCACAGGUAUAGGUGAAAGCAUCCCCUUAUGUGAUAACUGACGUUGAAGGACGAAGGCUUUGUGUCGCGAACAGGAUUAGAUACCCCAGUAGUCAAAGCAGAAAAUGAUGAAUGUCAUAGAUUAGAUAAAUAGUUUAUUCUAUAAAUGAAAAUGUAAGCAUUCCACCUCAAGAGUAAUUUGGCAACAUUGGAACUGAAAUCAUUAGACCGUUUCUGAAACCAGUAGUGAAGUAUGUUGUUUAAUUUGAUGAUCCGCAAAAAACCUUACCACAAUUUGAAUAUUUAUAUCUAUCUUUUUUUUCGUAAAGAAAUAAAAAGGUAAUAUAUUUACAAGCGUUGCACGGCUGUCUUCAGUUAAUGUCGCGAGACUUUGGUUAGUUCCAUUAAAUUAACGUAAACCCUUACUUUAUUUUUAUAUGAAGUAGUUCCCCGCUAUAUUGGAUAUGAUAACAGGGACUAAGACAAGUCAUCAUGG